Octopus sinensis (East Asian common octopus) is the source of this 138-nucleotide long non-coding RNA. RefSeq lists it as uncharacterized. Lineage: Eukaryota; Metazoa; Mollusca; Cephalopoda; Octopoda; Octopodidae. The record is from RefSeq and is a predicted model, not a curated record. The transcript has 3 exons.
AUUUAUGUAUAUAUAUAUUUUAAAAAUUGAAGUAAAAACACAACAAACAGAAAAUUUUACAAAAACAUAACAAACAGAAAAUUGGUAGCUUAUUCCUCAUCAGUCAACAUCCAAAAAGAUCAUUACAGUUUCGCACCU